This 454-nucleotide ribosomal RNA is filed under the name uncultured Streptococcus sp. Its description in RNAcentral is "bacterial SSU rRNA". It matches the Rfam family "Bacterial small subunit ribosomal RNA", at positions 925 to 1382 of the family's 1533-position model. The record is from RNAcentral. Lineage: Bacteria; Bacillati; Bacillota; Bacilli; Lactobacillales; Streptococcaceae.
ACAAGCGGUGAGCAUGUGGUUUAAUUCGAAGCAACGCGAAGAACCUUACCAGGUCUUGACAUCCCGAUGCUAUUUCUAGAGAUAGAAAGUUACUUCGGUACAUCGGUGACAGGUGGUGCAUGGUUGUCGUCAGCUCGUGUCGUGAGAUGUUGGGUUAAGUCCCGCAACGAGCGCAACCCCUAUUGUUAGUUGCCAUCAUUCAGUUGGGCACUCUAGCGAGACUGCCGGUAAUAAACCGGAGGAAGUGGGGAUGACGUCAAAUCAUCAUGCCCCUUAUGACCUGGGCUACACACGUGCUACAAUGGUUGGUACAACGAGUUGCGAGUCGGUGACGGCGAGCUAAUCUCUUAAAGCCAAUCUCAGUUCGGAUUGUAGGCUGCAACUCGCCUACAUGAAGUCGGAAUCGCUAGUAAUCGCGGAUCAGCACGCCGCGGUGAAUACGUUCCCGGGCCUU